Molecule: long non-coding RNA, 1551 nt
Organism: Herpailurus yagouaroundi (jaguarundi)
Lineage: Eukaryota; Metazoa; Chordata; Mammalia; Carnivora; Felidae
Exons: 2
Source: RefSeq, a predicted model, not a curated record
UUUUUAAAUUUAAGUAAUCUCUACACGCCAUGUAGGGCUUGAACUCACACCCCGAGAUCAAAAGUCAUAUGCUGUUCUGACCGAGCCAGCCAGACACCCCUCGGUAAUGCUUUUAAAUCAGUUUGUCUUUAUUAGCAACACCAUAAUCUAUAUCCAGUUGAAAUAUAGUAUAUAAAUAUUUGUAAGCUAGUAUUAUUUAUUCAGACUGAAGGUAAUGCUGAAGUAGAUUCCUUGUAAUAAGUCCGUGGCCUCACAGAGGUUCACAUUCCAUGCAUGGGUUGUGAAUCACUCCUAUAGAUUGAGGUUAAGAUGUGUGUUCAGAAAACGACCUAUUCAUGGAUGGAAAUUUGUAGGCUUAUUUGAAAUCAGUGGUAUCAAUAAUUUUUGAAGGCAAGAUAGAAGUAUUUCACAUUUCCAUUUUAACCAAAUCUUUAGAUAAGCAGAAUAAACAAAACAAAUUCUUUAGAAAUGAGACUUCUAACUUACUGUUGCUUUACUUAUUCUGCUUAGUUCAAGUCAGAGCUAAUAGUCUAACGUUCUUGAAUGUCUUGACAAGCUUUUGCAGCAAUCAUGUAUCCUUUUGCAGAUAUUUAUGUGUGACCUAUAUUAGUAUAGCAAAAUGGGUGAAACUUUUUCCAUAGCUUCUUUGUGAAAUUUCCAGUGAUUGUGUAAUAUUGAGAAAUUUCAGAAGAUUCUUUGAAUAGUAAAAAGCAAAAGAUGUCAUCCAUGUGAGCUUAAAAUUUAGAAACACAGAACAUACAUAAAACCGGUAGAGAAAGAUUAAAGUGAACAUAAUAUAAUGGAGAAAGCUUUGGAGACUUUGCAGUCCGUAUUCAAAUGGCUUUAGGUUUAAAAUCCAGAAUCUCAUUUGAACCUCAGAGCGAUCCUGUGGAAACAGAAGAUAGCGUAGGCAAGAUCCCAUUUACAGAUAAGUAAACAAAUAGCAUAUCAAAAUUUCAUUGGCCCAAGGACCCAGACAGAGCUGGUACAUUGCAAAGCCAGAGUUUGAAUCCAGAUGUUUUGACUCCAUGCCUCCUCUUUUUACCUCCAUAAGCCACAAAAUCCAAAAUCCUUACUUAGUUUGAGGGUCAAGCCAUCACUAAUAAGGGUCUAACCCAUCUUUUUCAGCCUUUUCUCUCCCUCUUCCCACAAACCGUAGCUCCCACAUUUGGCAGGUCCUGGCCAAGGAUCACAGGACAAGAGGCCAUCUGUCCAGAGAGAAAGACAAGAGGAUUUGUGACUUUAGGAGAAAAGAGAAGGCUGCAAAUAUUGCUUUGGGCAUUUAUUUAAAAGGAAAGAGAUGUGACCAAAGAGAUGGACAAAAACAUGGUUGAAGCUGGGCACUUAUGCUCCGUGUUGCGGCUUGGCGCACAGCUGUUUCUUCCUUCAGCUGCGCUGGGUGGAGGGGGGGCUUCUGCCCAAUGCCAGGGUCUCUUCAUUUCCUUGGUUUCGUGCUGAGUCAGUCACUGGCUCUGGCUUUCUUCUCCUACCUAUCUUUGCCUGUUUCUUCUCUCUUCUUUCUAGUGUCAAAUAAAAAUCUCUUCCAAAAAA